UGCAGAUGCACAAGGUAUGACUUCUGAAACAGCAAUGACCUAAAAGGGGCCUUACAGUUGAAGGCACAGGACAGUGAUGGAAAGACAGAUGGUGAUGGUAAUGGGAUUUUUGUGGCCAUGUGAUUUGUACUCAUGGAUACAGACUUUCACCAAAGGCAGACACUAGGGGGCGCUAUUGAGUCUGGCUUCAUACAGCUGCCAGUAUAUUUCAGUCACUCCAGUAUGAAACUGUUCAGUGUCCUGGCAGAACUGCGGAGAGCUCAAUACCACCGACAGAGGCCCUGAGGUUUCUUCAUGGCAUUUUGUAAGUGCUGGUGUGCCUAGUUCAGCCAUCAUGGAUGUCUUCCUUACAACGACUGGCACUUUUCCACACACAAUUUUACAGAAAGGGUUCCCACCUCUAAAUCGGUAGUAUAAGGACUGAAAAUUGGUGUGCAAAGAGAAUGAAAGGGAAGGAACUGUAACCGUGAACAGUGAGGAGUGAGACAGGAGGGGAGAGCUGUUGUAGAAGUUGUGGCUUUAUUGGUGAUGGGCACUGCUUCAAGUUUCUCUCUUGUGCUCCACCCCAAAAGCCACUUUUAUGGUGCUGUUUACUAGCUGAAGCUUCCAGAGAUCUUUAUCACAAAGUCUUUGAUAGGCCAGAUUUCUUCCACAGUCCUUAUGCUGCUGGAUCAGAGCACUAAACCACAAGAGACGGCAAACCAACAGCGCUUACAGGACAGAACAACACUUCACUUGUGUGUUAAUAUGUGCUGAAAUCAGUGCGGAUAUGCUCUACAGGCAAUUAAUGAUGGGUAAAUGGUCAGGGCAUUAACUAAAGCCAGUGAAUAAGUAUUUAAAUCGCAUAAAAAAUAUAUUUUAGCAUUUCAAAAAAACACACAGGGACUGGGGCUGCUGAUAGUUACGCUACUAUUCAAAAGUUUGGCGUCUGUACGUUUUUUUUUUUUAAUGAAAUGAUUACUUUAUUUAGCAAGGAUGCAUUAAAUUGAUCAAAAGUGGCAAUAAAGACAUUUAUAAUGUUACAAAAGGUUUUAAAAUAAAUGCUGUUCUUUUGAAAUUUCUAUUCAUCAAAGAAUCUUGAAAAAAGUAUCACGUUUCCACAAAAAUGUUAAGCGGCACAACUGUUUUCAAUAGAAAAGUUUCUUAAGCAGCAAAUCAGCAUAUUAGAAUGAUUUCUAAAGGAUCAUGUGACACUGAAGACUAGAGUAAUGAUGCUGAAAAUUCAGCUUUGCAUAAAUUGAAAACAUUUAUUUUAAAUCGUAAUAUUUUACAAUAUUACUGUUUUUACUGUAUUUUUGAUCGAAUAAAUAAAAUAUUUUUGACCAAAAAGUGCGAUUUCAAAAAUGUUUAAAAAUCUUACUGACCCCUAAUGUAUUUCAAACAUUUGUUAUAUUUUGCUAGUGAUAUAAAAUUACGCAACAUUGCACCAUAAUAAACAAUUAUAGCUUUAGACCAAAAUCUAAGACAGCAUGACACAUAAUUUGCAGAAAAUUGAGAGAAAUUUAAUAGAAAUUUAUAAAUACAGUCCUACUUACACUUUUAUUCAGUACCAUAUAGCAUCAAAAAUAGUUCAAUCUUACUAAAAUUGAUUGUUUUACCCAAUAUUGGUGCGUAAAAAGAUUGUGGAAUACUUUAAAAACAAUGUUCCUCAAUGUCAAAUUGCAAAGGCUUUGCAAAUCUCAUCAUCUACAGUGCAUAACAUCAUCAAAAGAUUCAGAGAAACUGGAGAAAUUUCUGUGCGUAAGGGACAAGGCCGAAGACCUUUAUUGGAUGCCCGUAGUCUUCAGACGACACUGCAUCACUCAUCGGCAUGAUUGUGCCAAUGACAUUAAUAAAUGGGCCCAGGAAUACAGAAACCACUGUCGGUAAACACAGUCUGCCGUGCCAUCUGCAGAUGCCAACUAAAGCUCUAUCAUGCAAAAAGGAAGUCAUAUGUGAACAUGGACCAGAAGCGCCUUCGUGUUUUGUGGGCCAAGGCUCAUUUAUAAUGGACUGUUUCAAAGUGGAAAAGUGUUCUAUGGUCAGACGAGUCCAAAUUUGACAUCUAUUUUAGGGAAGGCCUUGUGUAUUUCAGCAGGACAAUGCAAAACCACAUACUGCAGCUAUUACAACAGCAUGGCUUCGUCGUAGAAGAGUCUGGGUGCCGAAUUGGCCUGCCUGCAGUCCAGAUCUUUCACCUAUAGAGAACAUUUGGCGCAUCAUUAAAUGAAAGACAACCACAAACUCUUCAGCAGCUGGAAACCUAUAUCAGGCAAGAAUGGGACCAAAUUCCAACACCAAAACUCCAGAAACUCAUAACCUCAAUGCCCAGUCGUCUUCAAACUGUUUUGAAAAGAAGAGGAGAUACACCAUGGUAAACGUGCCCCCGUCCCAACUAUUUUGAGACCUGUAGCCAGCAUCAAAUUUGAAAUGAGCUCAUUUUGUGCAUAAAAUUGUAAAAUUUCUCACUU
This is a long non-coding RNA of Ctenopharyngodon idella (grass carp), 2450 nucleotides long. RefSeq lists it as uncharacterized. The record is from RefSeq and is a predicted model, not a curated record. The transcript has 3 exons. NCBI's taxonomy places the organism in Eukaryota, Metazoa, Chordata, Actinopteri, Cypriniformes, Xenocyprididae.